Long non-coding RNA from Gorilla gorilla gorilla (western lowland gorilla), 2324 nucleotides. RefSeq lists it as uncharacterized. The transcript is spliced from 5 exons. The record is from RefSeq and is a predicted model, not a curated record. Lineage: Eukaryota; Metazoa; Chordata; Mammalia; Primates; Hominidae.
AUUCUUUCUACACAUGUUGAAGAAACUACUGCAAGUUAAAUUUGGAUAAAUAUCUCAGUAUCUGAUGCAUCCAGAUGAAGAAACUAUCUCAGAAGAGUUAAGUGAGUUGCUCAAGGCCACUCAGCUAGUUUAAAUUAGAGCAUGACUUUGAAUAAGCCGAUAUAUAUAUAUAUAUAGCUACAUAAAGACAACUAGCCAAUCAACGAAGUAUCCAGCCAGUGCUUUGUUAUGAAUCCAGCAUUCUUGCAGAUUGGUGCAUUGAGAUUUGUAGAUAUAAUUUGAAAUUUAGAAAGUGCUUCGUCUUCUGCCAUAUCACUCUGUAGCACCUGCGGUAUGCAGCUAUAUACAAGGCUGAUGGAGAGCAAAAGAGGCUGCCCUAUAGCACUUUAAAGAAAAGUUAUUAGGCUGGUCUUCAAAUUGGCCCUUGAGAAGCAGGUAGCUCCCUUGCUGCUAAACAGAUGUGCUGGUAGCAGCUUGGGAAUAAAGAGCAGCAGCAGAGUCUGGCCCAAAUACUCAUUUUUACCCAAGCAAGACUCCAGUCUGAGAGAAAAAGAACUGCUUAGAUAAGGUGAAUGAAAGAGAAGUAUGUAUGACUCAGUUCUUUCAUUUGCCUUGCAAACCCAUCUGUGGCUCUAGUGGAGAGCAGGUCAGAAGCCCAAGAGCAAUGGUUAUCAUUUCCCAUAGAGUUGUGUGUAUAUAUAUACACACAUAUAUAAAGCAAAAUUAUAUACAUAAAAAUGAUAUAUAUCUCUCUAUACAUACAUGUACGUAUACAUAUUUUACAUCUGCUCAUUUUGCUUUGUUAGUCUAAUGCCAAGGUUUCUAUGAGUAUGGCACCCUUGUAGUCCUUCACAGAACAGACUUGAAACCUAUGGUUUCUAGGCACUAAACGUUAUCUCUUGCUACUAAGCCAUAUUGUAUUCCUCACAUUCUCAGGCCAAACCUUUUGAUGACUCCUUGCAUUUCAAUAUAAUGUUACCUCUGUCUUCAAGGUCUCCUCUUAAUUCUGUGACCGACUUCUACUGAUGUUUCUAAAUACAAUUGAAAUGGUACCUUCUUGUUAAAGCCUUUCCAAAUUCCUUCAGGCCACUGGUUCUAUCCCUUGUGCUCCCAAAGUACUUAGUUCAUCCUGCUGUUGCAGCACUAGGCACCUACCGUAAUUAUCACUUUAUUUGUCUGUCAUCCCUCUCUCUGAUGAGCUGCUGGAGCAGGGAUUGUUUUCAUAUCCUUAACAUCUAGCACAGACCUAGACUUCAUAAUAGGUGCUCAAUAAAUGAGUGACUGCAAGAAUAAAUGAAUGAAUAAAAUAUACCACCUCAUGUUUGAAAUGUACUUGAAUUCUUCCAACCAGCCUUUUCUUUUGUGCCGCUUUUCUUUAUCUUCUUCCCGGCAGCACGUUCUUCUGUCCUACCUGGUAGAUUUUAGAGCUUAGGAAAUAUGUGUUUGAAGAUUUAAAAUAUAGUUCUUUGAACUCCUUAGAGGAAAAGUCUAUGAAUAAAUAAUUAGACUCAUUUCACAUCAAAAUCUAAAGUGUGAAAAAAUGUUCGUAUCAUUUGGUGCUUUAUUCACUUGUAUGGUAAUCUAAUGGCAUAUCCAUUGUUAACGCUGAACUAUACUGAAAUAUUUUACUCUCAGGGCUUUUCUUCUGACAAAGGAGGCUUUUUGAAAAUGAAAAAUCACAGCUCCUGUCCCUGGUAUGCUAUGGGGAAAUUUAUUAGUUUUGUAAUGCAUGGGUUAAUAUUACCAUUUUUUAUAUUGAAUAUUACUUAAAAAAAUUACUAUUAAUAUCACUGCAGCAUGUAUGUAUAUAAGUCCUGUCAUCUUUGGGGUAUGUAAAUCAGGAAUGUUGCUGAAGAACUACUUAGCAUUUUCUUGGGGGUGAAGUGCUUAGUUUUGGAAUUUAAUUGUAGGUUUUACAUUUAAGCUGUUCAGUAUUACUCUUCUAAAGGUUCUAUAAAUUUCUUGCUUUGUAGUUUAACAGGUUUAGUCACCACAGUUGAAAGGCAUCAUCCUCAUAAUGAAGCCAGAGAAGAAUAAAGGUUGAUCAUGCAGGGCUGGCUGGCUGUGACAUUGAACAAUAGAGCUUGACUUCUUCAUGUCUGUUAAAUUAGACUAUGGGGUGUGCUUAUCUUGCUGCAAUGAUACUGAAUUGUAACAUGAAAAUGUUAUGUUGUGCAGCUCUGCGAAGGGAGUGCAUCUGUUCUCACCUAAUAUGUAUGGCAAAAGCUUUAAAAUACUACUGAAGCUGCCUAGUGGGCUUAAAGUCUAAUGGCACAGAAUUGGGCAUAAUAAUGAAACAAAAAUAAAGAAAAAGUGCAAAGGCU